GGGAUUACAGGGUGCUCUGUUUUCUGGGGAGCUGUUCAUAAUUUGCUGAAGGCCUGUGCUCUCCGGUUUCUGGGCUGCUGCAGGCCUAACUUCUCCGCUCCUGUGGAGUGAGUGCUUUCAGGCAAGGAAGGGAGCUUGAACCCCAGGAGGAAGCACUGAGGCAACCCCUGCGAUUGCAGGUCCUCAGCUCCCCUGAGAUGUGGUUUCGGAGUUUAAAACUUCAGUUUCGCAACAGCAGCCCAUUGAGAAGUGAACGCAAAUCAGCCUGACUCGUGACUUUUUAUUGACUUGGUUGAAUAUACCACUGUAGGGACAGAAGUUAUAUUUAUUUUCUAUAAUGUGUAUCUUUGCUAGUGACCCAUCUAGGAAAUAGGCUAAUCAAAGAGACCUUGGAAUCUUUUUUUUUUUUUUUUUUGAGACAGAGUCUCACUCUGUUGCCCAGGCUGGAGUGCAGUAGCACAAUCUCAGCUCACUCACUGCAGCCUCGAACUCCUGAACACAAGUGAUCCACCCACCUCAGUCACCCGAGUAGCUGGGACUACAGGGGUGUGUCAGUAUGCCUAGCUAAUUUUUUAUUUUUAUUUUUUGUAGAGAUGAGGUCUUGCUGUGUUUCCCAGGCUGGUCUGGAACUCCUGGGCUCACGCAAUCCUCCUGCCUCAGCCUCCCAAAGUGCGGGGAUCAUAAGCAUGAGCUCUGGCCCUGGCCAGAGUCUUUCUUUGAAGGCUGUGAAGGGAGAGAAAGUAUCAUAUGGCACUGUUUUUGCAGUUGGUGCUUGAAGGCAGGGAGGGCUGUAUGAAUGCCUGAGGCCCGUUCUUCCUGAACAGUCUUGGAUUCGAUUUCCCAUCUGCUCCGGGCACCCAACAGCUUGUUUCCUCGAGUGGCCGCGUGCUCCGGGGAUGGUGCCCAUGGGUGGCACAUUCUCCAUCAACUCUGUUUAAGCAUUUCAUCCUAUAUGUGUUGUCCUAAAAAUAAGCAUCCCUGUGGGCUCCUUUUAAAUGAGUUCCUCUGGGCAGUCGGCGCUGCAGUCUCUCCUAUGCUAGCAACUUCCAGCUGCCCUUACAAGUGCUUUUGUAAGGGCAUGAGGGGCUCAUUAAUUCAGCACAUCUCACUGAGCACUCUCCACGGCCCUUCCUGGAGCUGAGCUAUUGGGACAGUUUCAAUGACAGUGCCGCCACAGGCCCCCUGGCACCCUGUGUCCUGGGCUGCAUUCCAAGUGGACCUUGGAUACCAGCCUGGCUCCUCGCUGGGGAGCCUGGUCUUGGGUCCUACUCCCCCACCCUCAUCUCAUGUGGCCUCUGUUUCCUUCCAGAAACCACGUCAGUUCUUGGAAAGCUUGAAAUCCCUCGGUUGGGCAACUCAGCUGUUGGCGCAGAUUUCCCCACUGGGUGUGGGUUUGAGCUCGUGACCUCGAGCAUCCGUCUUUCCUUUGUACAAAGCGGCCACUCCAGGGAGGAGAUGAGCAAGUGACGGUCCAGGGUUCAUGGCUGUGUGUGGUCUUGGAGCUCCCUUCUGCACUUUCCAGCUGUCCAUGUCCCCAUGCAGAUGAGAACCCUUUCCUCAAUGACACCUCAUAACCAGGUACUUUCAUUCAUUUUACCGGAGGCCCAGCCCACUGAAGCAACCCAUCCAGGCCGUCCUUGCCAACGUGCUCUUCUUGGGUGGUUUAAAGGCUGAUGUGCUCUCCAGGGCUUGUGAGUCUUCCUGGGCGCCCCUACCCAGUCAGGAUGGCUGCAGACGCAUCUUCAUGCGCAUUCCAGCAGCGUCUCUGCCAGGGGUGCUGAAAGUCACUGUCUGAAGCAGCUGGGAGAUGGAAGUGAUUCUGACUUUGGGGCACCCACCCUCUGGAAAAUGUGGCACAUCAUUAGAGGGUGGUUCAAGCACACUCAGCUCUCAGGGAGCAGUUAUUCCUGGCACCAAGAAACUAGCCUGGAAAAAAUCUGUCUUUUGCAACAUGCAGGAUCCAUGAAGGACAGAGCUCUGAUUUUCAAGGUGCAGGAUGUUCAGCGGUUCGAUUCCAGAUGAGGCAUCUCCACUCACUAUACUUCAGCGGGAUCGUGGGCUCCCUGGCACAGAUGUCAGGGUUAUGAAUUGUGAUUGGUUUAUAUUUUAUGAUCCACAUUUUGGAAACCAAUUAUUUGUUGAGGAUCUUUGUCUUCUCAUUUAUUUUAGGUCUAGGGUGAAACAUUUCUUUUAUGUUUAACACUGGGCACUGACGCUGAGGUGUGAUCCACACACAAGGUAUCAAGCCUACCUCAAGUCGAGCAGGGGUCUUCAGGACUGCAGCACACUUUGCGGUUGCCUCCUUGGCAGUAGGGGUGGAGUCUAGAAUGAAUUGUUGCUUCCCAGCUUCUAGAGUUGCUGUGGUUGCGAGCUCUGGUCUCUUGAUCCCCGUCUCACACGCUCUGGGCCCACUGUUUUGCUACAGCUAUUGCUGUGGUGACUGGCCAUGAGCAGGUGUGGCCUGACACACCGUGUCUCAGCUCUGCCUGGUUCUCUACCACCUCCACCUGGCAUCUGGCAGGAGCCCACUCAGCCAUGCUGGUGUGUGGUGCACCUGGGAGUGUGAGGGAAUUAGCACCCUCAGGCAACCCCUGACCAGUCGAGACCGCAGCUGAUGGAGAACACUUCCCUUUCCAAGCCAUGGCUGGACCAUCUGAGGAUCCUUCCUUGGUGGAUCCCCAGCAGGAUCAAGCCUAAACAGCCCACAGUGGUAACCCCCUUAGUCCCAUGUCCUUGAGUUGGCUUUUCUUCUUCCUGGUAUCACCCCCUCCAGGUCCCACUCAGGCUUCCUGAUAUCGCCUUCCCAUAUAGCCGUGCUGUGUAGAGGUCGUGGCCUCAGCCAGCUUCUGGGGGAACACGCGCCAGGGCGGCUGCGUAUCUAUUUCAAAUAACAUUAUAAGGUAGGAUACUUAUUUCAUAAUGUGAACCUUUUUCUUAGGAAAACUUCAAUUUGAGAUUGCAUUUCAGAGGGUC
This 2973-nucleotide long non-coding RNA is filed under the name Homo sapiens (human). RNAcentral describes it as "HSALNT0206902". Lineage: Eukaryota; Metazoa; Chordata; Mammalia; Primates; Hominidae. The record is from RNAcentral.